RNAcentral lists this ribosomal RNA (253 nucleotides) under uncultured bacterium. RNAcentral describes it as "partial 16S ribosomal RNA". It matches the Rfam family "Bacterial small subunit ribosomal RNA", at positions 524 to 776 of the family's 1533-position model. The record is from RNAcentral.
UACGAAGGGGGCUAGCGUUGUCCGGAAUCACUGGGCGUAAAGCGCGCGCAGGCGGUCAUCUACGUCUGGGGUGAAAGCCCGGAGCUCAACUCCGGGAUUGCCUUGGAUACGGGAUGACUUGAGGAUCGGAGAGGCAAGGGGAAUUCCACGUGUAGCGGUGAAAUGCGUAGAGAUGUGGAGGAACACCUGUGGCGAAGGCGCCUUGCUGGCCGAUUUCUGACGCUGAGGCGCGAAAGCGUGGGGAGCAAACAGG